RNAcentral lists this ribosomal RNA (921 nucleotides) under uncultured microorganism. RNAcentral describes it as "SSU rRNA". It matches the Rfam family "Bacterial small subunit ribosomal RNA", at positions 66 to 1023 of the family's 1533-position model. The record is from RNAcentral.
GCGAGAAGCAUCUUUCGGGAUGUGGGCAGCGGCGGACGGGUGAGUAAUGCGUGGGUAUAUGCCCUUUGGUACGGAAUAGCCCUUGGAAACGAGGAGUAAUACCGUAUGUGCCCUACGGGGGAAAGAUUUAUCGCCAAAGGAUUAGCCCACGUUGGAUUAGCUAGUUGGUGAGGUAAAGGCUCACCAAGGCGACGAUCUAUAGCUGGUUUGAGAGGAUGAUCAGCCACACUGGGACUGAGACACGGCCCAGACUCCUACGGGAGGCAGCAGUGGGGAAUACUAGACAAUGGGCGCAAGCCUGAUCUAGCCAUGCCGCGUGAGUGAAGAAGGCCCUAGGGUUGUAAAGCUCUUUCAGAUGUGAGGAUGAUGACAGUAACAUCAGAAGAAGCCCCGGCUAACUUCGUGCCAGCAGCCGCGGUAAUACGAAGGGGGCUAGCGUUGUUCGGAAUUACUGGGCGUAAAGGGCGCGUAGGCGGACUGGUCAGUUUGGUGUGAAAGCCCGGGGCUCAACCUCGGAACUGCAUUAAAUACUGCCAGUCUAGAAUCCCGGAGGGGAGUGUGGAAUUUCUAGUGUAGAGGUGAAAUUCGUAGAUAUUAGAAAGAACACCGGUGGCGAAGGCGACACUCUGGACGGGUAUUGACGCUGAGGCGCGAAAGCGUGGGGAGCAAACAGGAUUAGAUACCCUGGUAGUCCACGCCGUAAACGAUGUCUGCUAGCCGUCGGGGCACUUGGUGUUUCGGUGGCGCCGCUAACGCAUUAAGCAGACCGCCUGGGGAGUACGGUCGCAAGAUUAAAACUUAAAGGAAUUGACGGGGGCCCGCACAAGCAGUGGAGCAUGUGGUUUAAUUCGAAGCAACGCGCAGAACCUUACCAGCCCUUGACAUCCCGUGCCACAACCAGAGAUGGUUGGUUCCCUUCGG